GGCCGACUAGCUCAGUUGGGGAGAGCGCGGCAGAUUGCUAUCGUCGAGGUCGUCGGUUCGACUCCGGCGUUGGCUC
This is a non-coding RNA of Fomes fomentarius, 76 nucleotides long. The record is from the annotation of a GenBank genome assembly. NCBI's taxonomy places the organism in Eukaryota, Fungi, Basidiomycota, Agaricomycetes, Polyporales, Polyporaceae.